AACACAUGCAAGUCGAGCGGUAAGGCCCUUUCGGGGUACACGAGCGGCGAACGGGUGAGUAACACGUGAGCAAUCUGCCCUUCUCUUUGGAAUAACCAUUGGAAACGAUGGCUAAUGCCGAAUAUGACCCCCCUUCGCAUGUUGGGGGGUGGAAAGCUCCGGCGGAGAUGGAUGAGCUCGCGGCCUAUCAGCUUGUUGGUGAGGUAAUGGCUCACCAAGGCAUUGACGGGUAGCCGGCCUGAGAGGGUGACCGGCCACACUGGGACUGAGACACGGCCCAGACUCCUACGGGAGGCAGCAGUGGGGAAUAUUGGACAAUGGGCGAAAGCCUGAUCCAGCAACGCCGCGUGAGGGAUGACGGCCUUCGGGUUGUAAACCUCUUUCAGCAGGGACGAAGCGAAAGUGACGGUACCUGCAGAAGAAGGACC
RNAcentral lists this ribosomal RNA (428 nucleotides) under grassland soil clone saf2_418. RNAcentral describes it as "bacterial SSU rRNA". It matches the Rfam family "Bacterial small subunit ribosomal RNA", at positions 50 to 494 of the family's 1533-position model. The record is from RNAcentral.